This is a long non-coding RNA of Magallana angulata, 550 nucleotides long. RefSeq lists it as uncharacterized. The transcript is spliced from 3 exons. The record is from RefSeq and is a predicted model, not a curated record. NCBI's taxonomy places the organism in Eukaryota, Metazoa, Mollusca, Bivalvia, Ostreida, Ostreidae.
CUAUUACAUAUAUAAAGGGGAGAAAUAAUGGAGUCAAACUAUAGUUUCUCUAUCGCACAAACUGUAACAGGUAAUAAUGAGGUCUUCAGUCGCUGUUGUCUUUGCCGUCCUGUGCCUGACAGGAUCUGUAUACUCUCAGACCAUCAGUACAAACACCUUCUUCAACAACCUGAACAGCUUCAUCAGCAACAACCCAGCCCUGGCGCUGUCCUUCGUCGCUCCCUUUCUUGCCGCCAACAGCCUGGGACCCAACCCCAGCGGUGUGAUCAUUCCCCCACCCCCACCAUUCAUCCCCAUGGUCCCUCCCAUGGCAAUGAUGCCACCCAUCAUUGUCAGGAAGCACCACUACUGAGGUGUGGAUGAUAUGAAAGAUGCUGGAACUUCCAUGGUUAUCUAUCAACAACACAUACAUUUUUAGGAUGAACUCAUCUAAGAGACCCGCCAUUUUUGACGUUGACGUCACAUCCGUGGUCCACGCUUAGACGGAGAUGAAAGGUUGAGGACUGGAAUAUUGCUUGUUAUAGUUUUUAAUAAACCCAAAACAAAACUA